AAGAGGGAGAGGAUGCAGAGGUGGAGGAAAACAAAGAAAAGCAGAGCAGAAGCCCAUCGCCUGGGGAAACUGCAAGUUCUAAGGGCUACCUUAUUAGGGAAUUGAAAAACAUAGGUUCUCUCCAUGGAACACUGCAGAAGCAUGAUGGCUAAUUCGUUUGACAAGCUGGCAGGGCCAAGAUACCUGGCUUAUGACUAGGUCAUUUACAAUAAAGUACCUGCUGUACAGCUGCCAAGCUUGCUAUAUAAGUGUGCAAAAAUUUGGAAUUCAGACCACAAGAAUGCUGUCUGAGUCUUCAGGCACCUGGUCAUCUGGGUCCAGGUUGAUGCUGCAGCAUGUCUUCUAACCCGCCUACCACCAGAGGGCAGCAGCGUACAUUCACAACAAUUGUUGAGAAGUGGAAGCCGAUGAAUCUUAUGUGCAGAAGAGGACAUAGCAAAAGAAGAAGCAUUCCAUACCACCUGCGUUCAUGCCUGCCAUGCCCUGGAUUUGGGCCCCCAUCUGAACCAUCUCCUGCACAUAACCAUGCUAUCAUAAUGAGGAAUCUUGAGAUCUGUGACAAUCUCUCUCUUCUCCCCAGCCCACAGCUCCAUCACACCCUACUCUAAUCACUAAGGAUCACUCAAGAUACUUCACUGUCUUCUGUUUUUCCAAAGUCCCUAAGUCACUUUAAGACUUUCUAUGUCCUCUGUAAACAGUCACAUACUCAUGUCUGGGGCUAGGUAUACAUGUGGAGAUAAGAGUGCAAGAGACAAGAAUGAAGGAGAGAAAAGUGAGGAAGGAAAAAUAAAGAGCUAUUUAUGU
Molecule: long non-coding RNA, 804 nt
Filed under: Mus musculus (house mouse)
Lineage: Eukaryota; Metazoa; Chordata; Mammalia; Rodentia; Muridae
Description: predicted gene 14974
Source: RNAcentral